Molecule: ribosomal RNA, 664 nt
Filed under: Burkholderia sp. GUVFHEM-1
Lineage: Bacteria; Pseudomonadati; Pseudomonadota; Betaproteobacteria; Burkholderiales; Burkholderiaceae
Description: bacterial SSU rRNA
Rfam family: Bacterial small subunit ribosomal RNA
Source: RNAcentral
GCCUUACACAUGCGAGUCGAACGGCAGCAUGGGUUGCUUGCACCUGGUGGCGAGCCGUUAGAGGGGGGGGAGUAAUACAUCGGAACAUGUCCUGUAUUCCCGUUGAUAACCCGGCGAAAGCCGGAUUAAUUCCGCAUACGAUCUACGGAUGAAAGCGGGGGACCUUCCGGCCUCGCGCUUUCGGGUUGGCCGAUGGCUGAUUAGCUAGUUGGUGGGGUAAAGGCCUACCAAGGCGACGAUCAGUAGCUGGUCUGAGAGGACGACCAGCCACACUGGGACUGAGACACGACCCACACUCCUACGGGAGGCAGCAGUGGGGAAUUUUGGACAAUGGGCGAAAGCCUGAUCCAGCAAUGCCGAGUGUGUGAAGAAGGCCUUCGGGUUGUAAAGAACUUUUGUCCGGAAAGAAAUCCUUGGCUCUAAUACAGUCGGGGGAUGACGGAACCGGAAGAAUAAGCACCGACUAACUACGUGCCAGCAACCGCGGUAAUACGUAGGGAGCGAGCGUUAAUCGGAAUUACUGGGCGUAAUGCGUGCGCAGGCGGUUUGCUAAGACCGAUGUGAAAUCCCCCGGGCUCAAUCUGGGGAUCUGCAUUGGGUGACUGGCAGGCUAGAGUAUGGGUAGAGGGGGGGUAGAAUUUCCACGUGCAGCAGUGAAAAUGGC